CAUCCGUAGCUUGUUCUGUAGGUCCUCUGUUAAAUCCAACGGCUUAACCGUUGGCAGGCAGAGGAUACCGCAGGACUAGGAGGCGGGAGAGGUGGGCGGUACUCAACGUGUAGGGGUAAAAUCCUUUGAUCCGUUGAAGACCACCAGUGGCGAAGGCGGCCCACCAGAACGCGCUCGACAGUGAGGGAUGAAAGCUGGGGGAGCGAACCGGAUUAGAUACCCGGGUAGUCCCAGCCGUAAACGAUGCAAGCUAGAUGAUCCGGUCGCAAAUCGCGAUCGGAGUGUCGCAGGGAAGCCGUUAAGCUUGCCGCCUGGGGAGUACGGUCGCAAGACUGAAACUUAAAG
This 345-nucleotide ribosomal RNA is filed under the name uncultured archaeon. Its description in RNAcentral is "bacterial SSU rRNA". It matches the Rfam family "Archaeal small subunit ribosomal RNA", at positions 516 to 861 of the family's 1478-position model. The record is from RNAcentral.